GGUCUGUAGCAAUACAGAUGCUGGCGACCGGCAAACGGGUGCGGAACACGUACACAACCUUCCUUUAAGUGGGGAAUAGCCCGGGGAAACCCGGAUUAAUACCCCGUAACAUAUAGAAGUGGCAUCGCUUUUAUAUUAUAGCAGCAAUGCGCUUGAAGAUGGGUGUGCGGCUGAUUAGAUAGUUGGCGGGGUAACGGCCCACCAAGUCGACGAUCAGUAACUGGUGUGAGAGCACGACCAGUCACACGGGCACUGAGACACGGGCCCGACUCCUACGGGAGGCAGCAGUAAGGAAUAUUGGUCAAUGGACGCAAGUCUGAACCAGCCAUGCCGCGUGGAGGAUGAAGGUCCUCUGGAUUGUAAACUUCUUUUAUUUGGGAAGAAAUCUAUCUUUUCUUGGAUAGUUGACGGUACCAGAUGAAUAAGCACCGGCUAACUCCGUGCCAGCAGCCGCGGUAAUACGGAGGGUGCAAGCGUUAUCCGGAUUCACUGGGUUUAAAGGGUGCGUAGGUGGGCAGGUAAGUCAGUGGUGAAAUCUCCGGGCUUAACCCGGAAACUGCCAUUGAUACUAUCUGUCUUGAAUACCCUGGAGGUGAGCGGAAUAUGUCAUGUAGCGGUGAAAUGCUUAGAUAUGACAUAGAACACCCAUUGCGAAGGCAGCUCACUACGGGAAUAUUGACACUGAGGCACGAAAGCGUGGGGAUCAAACAGGAUUAGAUACCCUGGUAGUCCACGCCCUAAACUAUGGAUACUCGACAUCAGCGAUAAACUGUUGGUGUCUGAGCGAAAGCAUUAAGUAUCCCACCUGGGAAGUACGAUCGCAAGAUUGAAACUC
RNAcentral lists this ribosomal RNA (835 nucleotides) under uncultured bacterium. RNAcentral's name for it is "bacterial SSU rRNA". It matches the Rfam family "Bacterial small subunit ribosomal RNA", at positions 71 to 902 of the family's 1533-position model. RNAcentral also lists the same sequence under 1 other name. The record is from RNAcentral.